CCACACCCAUCCUAGAUCCCCCACCACUCCUCCGCCGGAAGUUUUCGCCCACCCCAACGUAGACCUCCUCCCCCUUCAGCGAAUACAUCCUCCGGAGUAGAUUCAUAGCCCUGCGAUGAACCAUAUACCAGGCGCAGGAUCUCGACCUUCCAGCUCCUGUAGCGUGUAUCCUUCACGACGCCGUUGCGGUGGCCGUCGAGGCCGACCACUAGGUUAGGUUGUUGAUGAAAGCCGGUGGCCUGGAUGCCGACUCCGCCGGGUCGCCAAGCAAAGCGCCGUCUUUCUCCACCGCCUACGUGGCCUCCACCUCCACCAAGCCCCACACGCUGCCGCCUCUUCGGAUGGCGGACGGUGCAACAUUAAUAGGAAUGGAAGGGUGCUCAAUGGCCUCCUCCCUCUCUUAUAUUCUAAGCUGACAUGGGUGUGUUGUCAUGUCGUGCGGGAGCUCUACCCCAAGUCCCACAAUGGACGUUGUUGACAUCAGCACCCAAUGAGCUAUCAAUAUUUAUCUCAAGCAUUAUGUGGCGUAUUGCUGUUGUGGUAUGUCCCUCCUGUAUUAUUAUGACAUAUGAAGGCAGCAACGUGUCAUUGUGUGAUUUGCUACUUUUAUCAUGUUAAUUCUUAAUCCUUUCGUUCUAAUUUUUCAAUUCUGUUACUAGUUACUCCUUCUGAUGCUUUUUUCGAUUUGUUCCUAUUGACUUAGGCUUGGCAGCAAAGCUAAGAACGAGCAGACUAAUGAUCUCAUUGUUAUGCUACGUCCCUGUUCAAAGUUCAAUUACAUCCAUGGCAAUGUUCCUGCUGACCACCUUGCAUUGUAGUUUAGUCCUCUAUAAUCCAAAAUUCUUGUAAGCACUUACCAGCACAAUAUGAAGUUGAAACAUGUUGAGAAGAAUCAUGCUCUACAUGUAUGAGAUUAAAAUGUGAAGUGUCAGUAUAUCAAUUGAGAAGGUUGUAUGGAUGAAUGGAGCUUUGCAUUCUCAUGUGGUUUCAGAGCAAGGAGGGGAAAGAAUACAAAUAGUACUCGACCAGCUACUGGAGCAGGGGAGGAGGAGCAGGACUGGGCAUAGUACUUGACCAACGGCUAGAGAAGAACUAGGAAAAAGAGAAGGUGAAGGCCAACCACCGUUCUUAAACCAGAUUUAGACCUACCCCGGAAAAAAGAACACUAUGUGUUUGCGCUGGCGACAUGCAUUUGCAGCGCAACAAGUCGAAGAAGGACUACCCCACCCAGUGGUCAUAGCUAGCCUCCGUGAGCUGCUACUGGUGGUUGCCCGUGAGAGAUGCUUCUGGUGGUCGCGAGCACCACUGGGAGGACUAGUGGGUGUCGCUUGCCUAGGUGGUCUUGACUGCACCGGGUAGUGGGUGUUCCAUGAUGAGCUCGAGGAGGCACGGACUAGCGACACCUCUAUGUAGGUGGUCGUCCAGCCAGAUGUGCCACAGCGGAAACAAAGUUUACAAAUGCGAGCACAAGAAAUGAAGAAUAUCUUGUAUUUGAGGUUGUUCUUGUAGCGGAAAAAGAAGUAGAUUGAGGUCACCAUCUUGUGUAUUUGAGGCCUAAAUGCUUGUCCCAGUUCGUGUGCAGCGACCAACCCUUCCAACCAGAGAGAAGGUUGAACAUAUGUCGGGUUGACAAUGAAACUGGAUUAGAUAAAGUUAGGCGAGUGACAGGCGUUGUUGCUGCAGACUACUUUGUGCCUGGAUAUUUUAUUUGGGUGUUUUUGAUUGCUAAUUUAGCUCAUGUUGGAUGUGAAGAAAAUAACAUGUACACUGCUGCAUAUCUCUCUACAGAACACCGAGGUAACUUUUUGAUGCAUUAUACAAUGUGAAUAAUGACAGAAUCCCAUACCACUUGUUGUAUUCUCCUCACUGUGUAACCAUAAAUGCGGCGAUGCCCAGCUUGUCACUGCUUUGGCAUGCUAGCUAUUCUGGAUUGGCACCAGUAAUAAAGCAUUUCCUAUUUGAUGAUUUACAAAAUUAUCAAUAAGAAAUGACAUCCUUCUGUUCUGUGCUCUACAUGUUAAUAUAUCAUGUGGCUAGCUUUCUGUAUAGAGCUUCUCUUCCUUCUUGGUGGUUCGUUGGCUGUGACCUUGAGUUGUGCUAUUCUAUUUUCUCUUGCUGCCGUUGUUGGCUCAUAUGCGUCGGUGUUCGUCAUUGUUGCCAGCCUUCUGGUGUUGGGCUACGCUGGUUGGAUGUGGCCUCGUUCCGGGGUUUUCCACCACGGUUUGUAGAAGAGAAAUGGUUUUGGACAUUGGCCAUGCAGCUCAAUGAUGCCCUGAUUCCAAGCCAUUUGCUAGUGAUGUACGUCUUGCAAUGGCACUAGUUGAACUGCACAAUAAGGUCAUCUUCCUAGCUGUUCGAAACAAGAUGGUAGACGGCCGAAGAAAAUCCUGAAGGCCUUGCGGGGCAAUGGAGAAACCAGACAAAUGGUGGCAUGCUUGCAGAUGGAUGCAUGAUACGUCCAAAACCAGAACUGCUCUGGUGUCUCGUUUUUGUGCAGAAAUCCAACUUUCGGGAAAAUCCUCGGAAUUUAUGCAGAAGACCCUAUUUUCCCAGGAAACUAACGGAGCCAGAAGGACAAUUGAGGUGGAGGCCCGAGGGCCCCACACCAUAGGGCGGCGCGGCCCAGGGGGGCCCGCGCGGCCCUGUGGUGUGGCCCCCUCGGCCGGCCUCCGACGCCCUCCUUCGGACUAUUUAUCGGCCUCGACCUAAAAACGCACGGGGAGAAGUCGAAGUCGCCAGAAACCCUCCAGAACGCCGCCACAUCGCGAAACUCCGUCGCGGGAGCCAGAAGUCUCCGUUCUGGCACUCCGCCGGGAUGGGGAAUUGGAGGAGAUCAUCGCCGCCAUCACCGCCAACGCCUCUACAUCAACCAGCCAUGUUUCCCCCAUCCAUGUGUGAGUAAUUCCCCCGCUGUAGGCCGAAGGGGAUGGUAGGGAUUGGAUGAGAUUGGUCAUGUAAUAGCAUAAGAUUGUUAGGGCAUAGUGCCUAGUGUCCGUAAUUGGUACUUUGAUGAUA
This is a non-coding RNA of Lolium perenne, 3015 nucleotides long. NCBI's taxonomy places the organism in Eukaryota, Viridiplantae, Streptophyta, Magnoliopsida, Poales, Poaceae. The record is from RefSeq and is a predicted model, not a curated record.